Long non-coding RNA from Folsomia candida, 1038 nucleotides. RefSeq lists it as uncharacterized. NCBI's taxonomy places the organism in Eukaryota, Metazoa, Arthropoda, Collembola, Entomobryomorpha, Isotomidae. The transcript has 4 exons. The record is from RefSeq and is a predicted model, not a curated record.
AUGGACGUUCCCUAUUGUCAUAAAGUGUCCCAAUUCCGUACCCUUUGCAGAGUUAAGGACUUCAUGCAGGAAGACAAAUAGCCCCUCACAUACUUUCUCCUUCUGUAUUUAUUAACAAAACUACAGGCUGUUUAAACUACUCAGGAUUUAUUUUAAUAUGCUGGUGUAUUAUUUUAAUAAACCAACGGUUAAUCUUACAGAAACAUUUGUUACUUCAAAAACCCUUUAAAUUUUGCUUAAAACACCUAAAUUAAACCUUUCCAAAUAACAAUUUACAAGAUAGUGACAACACCGAAAGUUGAAAAAAAACGUCUUAAAUGGCAAAAUCUUCAGUAGCGCAACUUGGUAAUUUUCUCACUAAAAAACGUUUCAAAAAAAUGCCAAGGAAGAAAUCAGGGCCCCCUUGUGACCAAAUUCUUCCCUACCUUAACGAAGAUGUAAGUCUGACAUGGAAGAAUGUCAUAAUUUGUAUCUUCGAACAUACACUCUAAAUAAUGAGGACAUAAAUCCUCACCCGCGGGGGAACCAUAGUUGUGCAUAAAAUAUUUACGUAAUCCCCCUAAUCUGUUCUUGGCUGCCGCUCCCCGACGUGAAAAACUGUCGCCUCGUCUCCCGAACUUGGAACGUCGCGGCGAAACCGAUCCUUCGGAAGAAGAGUGUUAUCAACCUCGAAUGUUCCUUCGAUAAGGGAGAAAUCGCUCGAAAUGCAAGGAUUCAGAGAGAAAUGGCCUCUUUCGGACAACCCCUCCACCACGUGGACAUACGCAUUUGCGACCUUGGCAAAAUUGACUUCAAGAGUAAAGUUUAUCUCGAUCAGGUCCACCUUUUCACGAAAUAUCUCUCCGUUCAUAAGUUGGCUAUAUCGGUACACAUCAGGGUUUUACUUUACCCACCUUUUGAGCUUAAUCCCCAGCCCAGUGGGUAAAAUGGAAAAAAUGGGGAAAAUGGGUGGGUAGUGGGGAAAAUGGGUAUGAAGGGUUAUACUAAGGUGGUGAGCCACCACCACCAUUGGGGGUAGUUUAUUUUCCUUGUUUUGUU